CAGGGCGUCCUGCGGGGUCCGCCUCCGUGUGCGGGGAGCGCGUCGUUCGUCCGAAGCCUGCCCGCUGGAGAGAGAGGAGCUGCCAGAACAGAAACAUGGAGGUGCUGAGCUCCAGUCAGCUGCUGUCACCGUUCCCAGCUUAAUUCACCACCAGUGAUCCCAUGGUUAACACAGUCCUUGGGGGUCUUUGUGCCCACAGCUCAGCCUUCCUUACCGUUACAGAAGUAAGAACUUUCUGGACAUUAUGUAUUUGGAUUUUUCUUUAAAUACCUUGAGCUUAUCAAUCUGUGUGCAUGUGAAGUAGUCCAUAUUAGAUACACUUUGCUAGUAGCUAAAACACUGCUAAGCUCAGAGGAAGCUACUUUUCUGAAUGCGUGUGUGCUCGUGCACUCCUGUCUUUAUUCCUCUCUUUUCUUUCCACAAGUAAUCCUAGUUGGAGUAGAUUUUAGUUAUUCCAUUAGCACAAGAAUAUCUAUCUGAACAAGGCCUCUUGGACAUGGGAGCUUUGACUCCCCUCUUCUGUGUACGUAAAGAGAGAUUGUUUUGACUUUCAAAGCAGUGUGAAACAGAAACAGAAAGCACUUUGUCCCAGCCAGCAAUAGUCAUUCCUUAUACACAGCUUUUUCAACAACACAUUUCAAAAUGCCUCCUCUUGUCUCAGGGCAAGCAGGAACUGACGCUGGGAACCAGUUAUCACAGCCCUUGGAACAAGCAUCCUGUUGAAGUACUGAUAUAGAGAAGUGAAGUUAGCAAGUUAAAGACUUGAGAGUAUUUUUGUUGGAGAAAGGAGUUGAUGAGCGAGUUCUAAUUGGGGAGUUUAUAAUAGAAUACAAUUAUAGAGUUGUGUUUUUUUUGUGAGUUCUGAGAAAACAAAGAUAUUUGAGAAGAGGACGCCCAACAACUGUAAAAUAAACAUGCUGAGAAGCAGAGAUUUGUAGGGACAGGCUGUUCAGCUACCCAAGGAAGGCUGCAACGACCACAACAGCUUCACGUUCACUGAAAACUUGAUUCUAAUUUGCAGCAUGUGAUUUACUGUUACAGAUAGGCAAAGUUCCAAUGAUAAUAACUUAAAAUAAUCCUUUGAAAAGCAGCAGUGUAUUAAAAAGAUGACAAUAAAGAUGAGCCACGAGGCCAAAAAUGGAAGUUUUUAAUAAUUGCUGAGCUGAGGCAUUACCAGAUAUAGCAAACAGGUAGGCAGGCCCAGGGAGAACAGACUCAGCAGGAGCCACGACAAAGCAGUUGGAAAAUAGAUAUGUGGAUGUUCCAAGGCAGCCCACUGAGAGUACUUACGUCACUGGGAGGGUAUCUCUUGAAUAUUCAACACACGUAGCAGGAAUAUUAUGAUCUCUUAAGAACAUUCUAUGGUUCUGUAACCUCUGGGUUAUAAAUGUUCAGCACUACAUUUUCUAAGCAAACUUCUCAUGUCCUCAGUUCACUUUUGACUGAACUAGUUUUGCUUAGCUUGUGUGUGUGUAUACAUAUGCGUGCGAG
RNAcentral lists this long non-coding RNA (1491 nucleotides) under Gallus gallus (chicken). RNAcentral's name for it is "long non-coding RNA NONGGAT001587". The record is from RNAcentral. Lineage: Eukaryota; Metazoa; Chordata; Aves; Galliformes; Phasianidae.